AUGUGCCUCGCCUGCUCCCUGCAGCACCCUCUCGCCCGCAGCGCUCCCCAAUCUUUGCAGCACCCCCUUGCCCACAGCACCCUGUCGCCUGCAGUGCCCCCUGCUCCCCACAGCACCCUGUUGCUCGCAGCACCCCCCACUCUCCACAGCACCCCCUUGCCUGUGGUGCCCCCCCUGCUCCCCAUAGCACCCCCUCGCAUGCAGCACCCUGUUGCCUGCGGUGCCCCCCUGUUAUGCACAGCACCCCGUUGCCCACAGUGCCCCCCACUCUCCACAGCACCCUGUCACCUGUGGAGCCCCCUACUCCCUGCAGCACCCCCUUGCACACAGCACCCCCUUGCCUGCGGUGUCCCCCUGCUCCCCACAGCACCCUGUUGCCCACAGUGCCCCCCACUCUCCACAGCACCCCCUUGCCUGUGGUGCCCCCCCUGCUCCCUGCAGCACCCCACUGCCCGUAGCACCCCCUCGCCAGCAGCACCCCGUUGCCUGCAGCACCCCGUCUGCUCCCAGCAGCAACCCCUCACCUGCAGCACCCCCUCUGCUCCCGGCAGCACCCCCUCUCCCGCAGCACCCCCUUUGCUCCUCGCAGCACCCCCUCACUGGCAGCACCCCCUCGCCUGUGGUGACGCCCCUGCUCCCCGCAGCACCCCUUGCCGGCGGCACCCCCCAGGACCGCCCCCUCCCCCUCCCCCGCAGCACCGCCCCCUCCUCCCUCCCCCCCUCCCCUCCCCCUCCCCCUCCCCCUCCCCCUGCGCCCUCCCCUCGGGGUGCGGGCGGCCGCGGACGGGGCUGAGCCCGAGCCGGCUCCGGCUGUCUGCGCGCCGCGCUCCAAGGCAGCGGGGUGAAUGGCCGGCAUCCAGCCCCGCCGGCAACUUGAAAAUAAAAAUAAAGCAGAGAAAAGAAAUAAAUAAUAAGGAGCGCGCCCGAAAGCCAAAGAAAAUACAAUCGCGGGGCGGGGGGCGGGGGGGGCCGCAGCCGGGCCUGGCCCUGGACGGCGGGGCCUCUGUGCCCCCCCGCGCCCUCCCCCUCCCCCUCCCCCGGGCCCCCCCAGGGCCACCCCCUGCGCGUCUCUGUCCUAAUUGCAGAAACACAAUCCGGGGCUGCCCCGCCGCGCCCGGGCGAGGCCAGGAGAGGCCGCGAGCACCCCCGCCCCCAGCACCCCCCAGCACCCCCCCAACACGCCCCCCGCCCCGCAACAGGGCCCGGCUUGUUCUUUGUGCGGCAAAUAUUUAUUUUGGUUCAAGUGGACGCCUUUCCACAAAGACCACCUGGUUGUAA
This 1278-nucleotide long non-coding RNA is filed under the name Canis lupus familiaris (dog). RNAcentral describes it as "lncRNA (ENSCAFG00030003562.1)". Lineage: Eukaryota; Metazoa; Chordata; Mammalia; Carnivora; Canidae. The record is from RNAcentral.